Molecule: ribosomal RNA, 150 nt
Filed under: uncultured Exiguobacterium sp.
Lineage: Bacteria; Bacillati; Bacillota; Bacilli; Caryophanales
Description: partial 16S ribosomal RNA
Rfam family: Bacterial small subunit ribosomal RNA
Source: RNAcentral
UACGGGAGGCAGCAGUAGGGAAUCUUCCACAAUGGACGAAAGUCUGAUGGAGCAACGCCGCGUGAGUGAUGAAGGUUUUCGGAUCGUAAAACUCUGUUGUAAGGGAAGAACACGUACGAGAGGGAAUGCUCGUACCUUGACGGUACCUUA